UACGAAGGGGGCUAGCGUUGUUCGGAUUUACUGGGCGUAAAGCGCGUGUAGGCGGACUUGUAAGUUGGGGUGAAAUCCCGAGACUCAACCUCGGAACUGCCUCCAAACUACAAGUCUGGACUCAAGUAGAGGCAAGUGGAAUUGCGAGUGUAGAGGUGAAAUUCGUAGAUAUUCGCAGGAACACCAGUGGCGAAGGCGACUUGCUGGACUUGUAGUGACGCUGAGACGCGAAAGCGUGGGGAGCAAAC
RNAcentral lists this ribosomal RNA (248 nucleotides) under uncultured bacterium. RNAcentral's name for it is "partial 16S ribosomal RNA". It matches the Rfam family "Bacterial small subunit ribosomal RNA", at positions 524 to 773 of the family's 1533-position model. The record is from RNAcentral.